RNAcentral lists this long non-coding RNA (1184 nucleotides) under Meleagris gallopavo (turkey). RNAcentral's name for it is "lncRNA (ENSMGAG00000021128.1)". The record is from RNAcentral. Lineage: Eukaryota; Metazoa; Chordata; Aves; Galliformes; Phasianidae.
UGGAUGAUCUUGGAGGUCUUUUCCAACCUUGGUGAUUCUGUGAUUCUACAGCUCUUCCCUGUGUUUUGUUUUAGGUGUUUUGUUCCAGUGUCCUCUGCAGAAUGUGAACCUUCCAGAUGCUGAACCAUGGGGUUGGGGCUGCUCCUGACUUACAGUCUCCUGCAAGGCUCGGAUCAUGAAGGUUGGAAGAGACCUCAGAUAUCCUCAAGAUACCCAAAGCAGGGAAGGAAACAGCUGAGGGAAUAAGACAUCCAGACGGAGAAGAAAAGGGGUGGCAAGUCAACUGGAUGUGCUGUCUGAUGAUAGGAGGAAGAGGAGAAAGAUCUCAAUCACCAUCAGCUCCUAAAAGGCACAAAUGGCCCACUCCAAAUCUGCUCGCCUUUGCCAAUCCAGGGGAACCCAGGAGACAGGUCAUGGUGCUGUACAUACAGAUGGACCUCUGUGCUGCGUCGCAUGGCGUGGAGAAAUCACUGUGUGCCAGGAGAGGAGAAAAAUUCAAUAUUUAAUCUGCAAACACGCCUGCAGAAGGCAAGCCACUACAUUUUCAUUUAUGAUUUUCAGCCUACAAAAAUACAACAGCAUAUACUGAAGUGCUUCUCUGCUGCUCCUGACAUAAAUAACAAAAGUGGAGGUGAGGAGAAAAUAUUAUGUGUGUGGGGCAGAGUGGAGGGCAGCACCUGAGCUGUGUUAUCAGAGAGAGAAGCAAAUGGGGAUACGAAUUGGACUGCAAACUCCCCAGGGUGGUGGGCACAGAUCUGAGAUCAGGGAGCAAUGGGACACAGCUCUGAUGCAGGGCUGGGGCUGGGGGUGAUGUGUGGGGCCGGGGUUGGGCAAAGUGAUCCCUGUGGGUCCCUUCCAGCUCGAGGUUCUAUGAAGGGGAGGGAAUUCCCUGAAACAAUCUCUUUUUAAAGGAGCUUCCCAGCAGGAACUACAUCCAAUUGAGUGAUCUUCUCAACUGAUCCUCUCAGCUGUGUCCAGAUGUGGAGUCCUCAGUGCAGGAGAGACGUGGAGCUGUUGGAGAGCAUCCAGAGGAGGGCCACAAAAAUGAUGCCAAGGAUGGAACAGCUCUGCUAUGAGGACAGGCUGAGAGCUGGGGCUGUGCAGAUGGAGAAGGGAAGGGCAGGCUGCGAGGUGAGCUGAGAGCAGCCUGUCAGCAUCUAAAGGGGAGCAACAGGAAAGAAGGG